This 1489-nucleotide ribosomal RNA is filed under the name uncultured bacterium. RNAcentral describes it as "bacterial SSU rRNA". It matches the Rfam family "Bacterial small subunit ribosomal RNA". The record is from RNAcentral.
AGAGUUUGAUCCUGGCUCAGGAUGAACGCUGGCGGCGUGCUUAACACAUGCAAGUCGAACGGGAUCCAUCAGGCUUUGCUUGGUGGUGAGAGUGGCGAACGGGUGAGUAAUGCGUGACCGACCUGCCCCAUACACCGGAAUAGCUCCUGGAAACGGGUGGUAAUGCCGGAUGCUCCGACUCCUCGCAUGGGGUGUCGGGAAAGAUUUCAUCGGUAUGGGAUGGGGUCGCGUCCUAUCAGGUAGUCGGCGGGGUAACGGCCCACCGAGCCUACGACGGGUAGCCGGCCUGAGAGGGCGACCGGCCACAUUGGGACUGAGAUACGGCCCAGACUCCUACGGGAGGCAGCAGUGGGGAAUAUUGCACAAUGGGCGCAAGCCUGAUGCAGCGACGCCGCGUGCGGGAUGACGGCCUUCGGGUUGUAAACCGCUUUUGAUCGGGAGCAAGCCUUCGGGUGAGUGUACCUUUCGAAUAAGCACCGGCUAACUACGUGCCAGCAGCCGCGGUAAUACGUAGGGUGCAAGCGUUAUCCGGAAUUAUUGGGCGUAAAGGGCUCGUAGGCGGUUCGUCGCGUCCGGUGUGAAAGUCCAUCGCUUAACGGUGGAUCUGCGCCGGGUACGGGCGGGCUGGAGUGCGGUAGGGGAGACUGGAAUUCCCGGUGUAACGGUGGAAUGUGUAGAUAUCGGGAAGAACACCAAUGGCGAAGGCAGGUCUCUGGGCCGUUACUGACGCUGAGGAGCGAAAGCGUGGGGAGCGAACAGGAUUAGAUACCCUGGUAGUCCACGCCGUAAACGGUGGAUGCUGGAUGUGGGGCCCGUUCCACGGGUUCCGUGUCGGAGCUAACGCGUUAAGCAUCCCGCCUGGGGAGUACGGCCGCAAGGCUAAAACUCAAAGAAAUUGACGGGGGCCCGCACAAGCGGCGGAGCAUGCGGAUUAAUUCGAUGCAACGCGAAGAACCUUACCUGGGCUUGACAUGUUCCCGACAGCCGUAGAGAUAUGGCCUCCCUUCGGGGCGGGUUCACAGGUGGUGCAUGGUCGUCGUCAGCUCGUGUCGUGAGAUGUUGGGUUAAGUCCCGCAACGAGCGCAACCCUCGCCCUGUGUUGCCAGCACGUCAUGGUGGGAACUCACGGGGGACCGCCGGGGUCAACUCGGAGGAAGGUGGGGAUGACGUCAGAUCAUCAUGCCCCUUACGUCCAGGGCUUCACGCAUGCUACAAUGGCCGGUACAACGGGAUGCGACACGGCGACGUGGAGCGGAUCCCUGAAAACCGGUCUCAGUUCGGAUUGGAGUCUGCAACCCGACUCCAUGAAGGCGGAGUCGCUAGUAAUCGCGGAUCAGCAACGCCGCGGUGAAUGCGUUCCCGGGCCUUGUACACACCGCCCGUCAAGUCAUGAAAGUGGGUAGCACCCGAAGCCGGUGGCCUAACCCUUUGUGGAUGGAGCCGUCUAAGGGGGGACUCGUGAUUGGGACUAAGUCGUAACAAGGUAGCC